UCCUGUCCUUUUUCGUCCUUCCUACUGUCAUCUGUCCUCCUGUCCUCUGACCUCAGUCCUCCUGUCAUCUGUCCUCCUGUCCUCCUGUCCUCUGUCCUCCUCCCUCUGCUACAGUAACAUUAGGGCUGAUAGAGGGAAGAGGGGCUGUUUGG
This is a long non-coding RNA of Sebastes umbrosus (honeycomb rockfish), 152 nucleotides long. RefSeq lists it as uncharacterized. The transcript is spliced from 3 exons. NCBI's taxonomy places the organism in Eukaryota, Metazoa, Chordata, Actinopteri, Perciformes, Sebastidae. The record is from RefSeq and is a predicted model, not a curated record.